This is a long non-coding RNA of Cyprinus carpio (common carp), 3517 nucleotides long. RefSeq lists it as uncharacterized. NCBI's taxonomy places the organism in Eukaryota, Metazoa, Chordata, Actinopteri, Cypriniformes, Cyprinidae. The transcript has 2 exons. The record is from RefSeq and is a predicted model, not a curated record.
CUUAUUGACCAAUAUAAGACUGUUGUUUUUGAGUCAUUUUCUAAUGUUGUGCUUCCUGCUGGAGUACUAGUAGUCCCUGCUGUACUACAAAUGCUUAAGAGUGCUGCUUAUGUUCCUGUGAUUAACGUUUAGUAUGGAUGCUCGUGUUCCUUCAGGCUGUGCUUUAGGGACUUUGAAGCCAGCUCAAAUAGUUAGCUUACCUGCUGGGGUUGAGGAGGUUCCCUUUUCACUGGGGGUUGGGGAAGUUCAGACUAUGGUUGGUACGCAAGCAAGGCAAGUUGGCUAAUUACAGCAGCUGAUAGAGUCAGUUGACUUGUCCACCCUCUCUGAAUCAGAGCAGAGUAGGGUUAUUGCACUAUUGACAAAGUAUCAGUCAGUGUUUGCUACUUACAAGGGAGAUUUAGGCUGCACUACCCAUAUUAGUCAUGAGAUUCCCUUAACUGAUGAGGUCCCUGUACGACAAAGUUAUAGGCGUAUUCCACCUGCUGAAUAUGAGGCUGUAAAGGCACAUAUAAUUCAACUCUUAGAAAAACAGGUAAUAAGGGAGCGUUGCAGCCCCUAUGCAUCCACCAUAGUUUUAGUGAAGAAAAAAGAUCGUGCUAUGCGUCUUUGUGUGGAUUAUCACCAGCUUAAUCUCAAGACUUGGAGAGAUGUUUUUCCUCUCCCUCGAAUUGAGGAGUCCCUUGAUGCACUUUCUGGUGCUCGCUGGUUUUCAGACCUGGCAAGUGGUUACAAUCAGGUGCCUGUUGAAGAGAAGGAUAAUUGUAAGACUGCUUUCUGUACCCCAUAUGGGCUUUUUCGAAUUUAAUCGUUUGCCCUUUGGGCUAUCCAAUGCACCAAAUACAUUUCAGCGACUCAUGGAGCGCAUCUUUGUGUCCCAGCCAGAAAUAUCUGUUUUACUAGCCUAUUCUGUGAAUGACCUUGCUGACCUUCAACAAGGUGAUCCCAUAAUUGGUGCCUUUUUUAUUUUUGACAAUACAAACGGAGGCCAAAUCACAUUGAACGGCAAGCGUUGAAUACGUCUGUAUUGGAAUUGGUGAGAUAAUGGGAAUAUCUGGUGGAGAGAGAUAAGGUCUUGUGUCGUAGGACCUUUCACCCUGAUGGAGGAGAAGAGGUGCUACAAUUGGGUUUUGCCAGAAGUAUUACAGGAGGAGGUGUUACAGCAGUUACACCAGGGGCACGGUCAUCAAGGUAUUGAGCGGAGACCCGAGCUAGUGUGUUCGAGGUGCUACUGGCCUGGAAUGUAAAAAGCAGUUAAGAAGUGGUGUGAGGAAUGUGAAUGCUGCAAUUUGGCUAAACUAGCACAUCCUUCUGUGAAGGCACCAAUGGGACACCUGGUUUCCAAAAGACCAAAUCAAAUUCUUGCAAUUGAUUUUACUCUCCUGGAGCGUUCAAGGGAUGGUAAAGAGCAAGUAUUAGCAGGCAGUUCGAACUUAUGACCAGUGGGCUCCCACAGUAGCAAAUGUCCUGGUAAAGGAAUGGUUUUGCUGUUUUGGUGUCCCAGCUCGAAUUCACUCGGACCAGGGUUGAAGUUUUGAAGGGGCAUUGAUACAACAACUUUGUGACCUGUAUGGUAUACAGAAGACGCGUACAAUGCCCUAUCACCCUCAGGGCAAUGGCCAAUGUGAACGGUUUAAUCGAACAUUGCAUAGCGUCCAUUGUACACUUCCCAAACCUGCAAAAGCUGACUGGACUAAUUACUUGCCCCAAUUGUUGUUCUCUUAUAAUACCACCAUACAUCAGACAAUGGAUGAGUGCCCACAUUUUUAAUGUUUGGUUAAGAACCUAACUUGCCAGUUGAUUUUCUCCUUGGAAGAGUUCCACAGCAGACAGCAGGGAUGGUAAUGGACUGGAUGGAGGAACACAGAGAGCAUUUGCAAGUGGCGUUUGAUGGUGCUCGGGAGAGGAUUCAAGUGGCAGGCCAGCUGAGGAAGGAGAGGCACGAUCAGAAGGGUUAUAGCUGUCACUUAAAAGAAGGACAGUUAGUUUAUCAAAGGGACUACAGUAAUCGAGGCAGGAAUAAAAUACAAGACAUCUGGAGCCCGACAAAGUACAAGGUAAUUCGAGUACCCAUGGAAUGAGUGGUUUAUUAUAUUGCCCCUCCAGAUAAACUUACACAGGUAAGAAAAGUACAUCAGACUAUGUUGAAGCUUGUGCCUGAUGUUUUGCCUCUGUAUCAUUCUCCAUGUAUGGGCCCUGAGUCUUUGCGAUCUGAGCAUGUUGGGCAUGAAGAAGAAAGGGAGGAUGGACAAUGGAUUUAUGUCCCACUGCCAGAAGAGAGACCACCUGUUACUGUGACAGUUCCAGCUGUUUUUCCCCCUGGUCACACAGAGUUGGUUGCUGGUCUAUUGUAUCUUGAAGGCUGGCAAACGGUUCCAGGCCAGGUGACCGAUAUGCUGCCUUCUGCAAGUGUUGAGGCAUUAGACAAUGGAGAAAAUUCCCUAUGCCGCACAGCAAGGGCUGUGGGGAGCAGUGCAAAUGGGACUGCGACUUCUUUCCUUAGCCAUAGAGAGGGGGUGACAGUUGUUUUAAGGCCCUGUAUUUAGGUCAUUUAAGCUAUAUUUAUAUAUAUAUUUUUUUUUUCUUCAUUUAAUUAGCCGAUGGGGCAUCGACACAGAAAGAGGGGGUGGAUAGUGACCGAGUGGAUAAUAAGGAUGGUGUACAGGGUGGGGCAUUUUGCCCUAUAAUUAGCGCAAAAGUUGGCAGGCUUCGUAACUUCCAGACGUUUUGAUCUUUUCCGUCUCCUUCCAGUGUUGUGACCCUGAAACAUAGUGAGGUAUGAGCAUGGCAUUUGUUUAGAUGCUGUAAGAGCUUGUAUAAGGAUGUUUUGGUUUUUUACAUGGUCUAUUGUGUUAAUUGCAGAGAGAUAACCCCCGAUGCAAGAGCGUGAGCACGUGGGCUGUAUGUAAUAUUAUGCAAGUUGUGGACGCCAGUUUCGCCUAUAGCAACGAGCUAUAUCACGCAGGGUUUCUAUUCCACUCUAUUAUGCAGCGUUUCUAGUCCACUCUUGGAUUACGGCAGAGAUCUUCCUUUGUGGAGUUCUAUGAAUAUAGACCUCUGAUGUCUAGGCCCUGCUGUUUUGCUUAUGAUUUUUUUUUUUUCAUCUAAGUUUUAAGCUGAUGGUCAUAUACUGAUGUUUGUUUUGAAGUUAUUUCUUAUCUGUUAUUAUUGAUUUUGUUUGUUAAAUCCUGUUUUUACCAACCGCUAAGGGUCUAUAUGAUGUGUGGUGAAAAGAAGAGUUUUUAACCCAUUUGUCUACAUUCUAGGAGCCAGCCUGCAUGGGAGUACUUUCUGCUGGGGUCAUCAGGGCCUUUCCUUUACUGCAGUUGGCAUGAGGUUUUCUGCACUGCAUGGGCUUGGUUGAUCUUGCAUUGAAGAAUUGUGGGUUAUGAUUUUAAUAUUUGACUUAAAGUCUAGACAUCUUAAAAUUGGGAUUCUCUCUUUUUAGAUGAUUAUAAAGUUGACUGCUUAAUCAGAGAUUUCAGUACUGAUUGUUAAUAAAAGUGUUGUACUUGAA